RNAcentral lists this unclassified non-coding RNA (194 nucleotides) under Ascomycota sp. Its description in RNAcentral is "partial internal transcribed spacer 1". The record is from RNAcentral. Lineage: Eukaryota; Fungi; Ascomycota.
AUUAUAUGUGGUCUACAGGAGCUAGCACUGCAAUCAUAUAUGUUAAUCCCAUAGCCACUACCACGUAUGUGGUUACAGCAGCCUCGUCCUGCGGGCCGGGAACAGCCUCUGUUGUUGUAACCGUAAAUUCAUCUAUCACCCCGAACAUUUCAGGAAAUACUACUAUCUGUACCGGAGGGAACACAACGCUUACA